GGGCCCGCACAAGCGGUGGAGCAUGUGGUUUAAUUCGAUGCAACGCGAAGAACCUUACCAGGGCUUGACAUACUACGAAUUUUCUUGAAAGAGAAAAGUGCCUUCGGGAAUGUAGAUACAGGUGGUGCAUGGCUGUCGUCAGCUCGUGUCGUGAGAUGUUGGUUAAGUCCCGCAACGAGCGCAACCCUUAUUUUUAGUUACCAAUUCGUUGGGUUCUCUAGAAAGACUGCCGGUGACAAACCGGAGGAAGGUGAGGAUGACGUCAAGUCAGCAUGCCCCUUAUGUCCUGGCUACACACGUGCUACAAUGGUUAAGACAAAGGGCAGCAAACUCGCGAGAGCUAG
This 344-nucleotide ribosomal RNA is filed under the name uncultured bacterium. Its description in RNAcentral is "bacterial SSU rRNA". It matches the Rfam family "Bacterial small subunit ribosomal RNA", at positions 917 to 1267 of the family's 1533-position model. The record is from RNAcentral.